AAUUCGAUUGAGUUUGAUCAUGGCUCAGGAUAAACGCUGGCGGCGUGCAUGAGACAUGCAAGUCGAACGGACUUCUCGGGGCUUGCUCUGAGAAGUUAGUGGCGGACGGCUGAGUAACGCGUAGGUGACCUACCCCGAAGUGGGGAAUAACCGCCCGAAAGGGUGGCUAAUACCGCAUGCGAUCGCUAAUUCACUUUGACGAUCAAAGCAGCAAUGCGCUUUGGGAGGGGCCUGCGUCCGAUUAGCUCGUUGGUGGGGUAAUGGCUCACCAAGGCGACGAUCGGUAGGUGGUCUGAGAGGACGAUCACCCAGACUGGGACUGAGACACGGCCCAGACUCCUACGGGAGGCAGCAGUCGGGAAUUUUGCUCAAUGGGCGCAAGCCUGAAGCAGCAACGCCGCGUGAGGGAUGAAGGCCUUCGGGUUGUAAACCUCUUUUAUCUGGGACGAUUAUGACGGUACCUGAUGAAUAAGCCACGGCUAACUACGUGCCAGCAGCCGCGGUAAUACGUAGGUGGCAAGCGUUGUCCGGAUUUACUGGGCGUAAAGAGCGCGCAGGCGGUCAAGUAAGUCGAAUGUGAAAGCCCCCGGCUCAACUGGGGAGGGUCAUUCGAUACUGCUCGACUCGAAGGUAGGAGAGAGAAGCAGAAUUCCCGGUGUAGUGGUGAAAUGCGUAGAUAUCGGGAGGAAUACCAGUGGCGAAGGCGGCUUCUUGGCCUAUUCUUGACGCUGAGGCGCGAAAGCUGGGGGAGCAAACGGGAUUAGAUACCCCGGUAGUCCCA
This 781-nucleotide ribosomal RNA is filed under the name uncultured bacterium. Its description in RNAcentral is "bacterial SSU rRNA". It matches the Rfam family "Bacterial small subunit ribosomal RNA", at positions 1 to 798 of the family's 1533-position model. The record is from RNAcentral.